CGCCUGUUUAACAAAAACAUGUCUUUUUGAAUUAUUUAAAAAGUCUAACCUGCCCACUGAAUUAUUUUAAAUGGCCGCAGUAUCCUAACUGUGCAAAGGUAGCAUAAUCAUUAGUCUUUUAAUUGAAGGCUGGUAUGAAUGGUUGGACGAGAUAUUAACUGUUUCAUAAAAAUUUAUAAUAGAAUUUUAUUUUUUAGUCAAAAAGCUAAAAUAAAUUUAAAAGACGAGAUGACCCUAUAAAUCUUUAUAUUUAGAUAAUUACAAUUUUGUGGAUUUUUUUUGUUGUGAUUGUUGAUAAUAUUUUAUUGGGGUGAUAUUAAAAUUUAAAAAACUUUUAAUUAGUUAAAUCAUUAAUUUAUGAAUAAUUGAUCCGUUAUUAACGAUUAAAAAUUUAAGUUACUUUAGGGAUAACAGCGUAAUUUUUUUGGAGAGUUCAUAUCGAUAAAAAAGAUUGCGACCUCGAUGAUGGAUUAAGAGAUAUAUUUUGGUGUAGUCGCUAAAAUGUUAAGUCUGUUCGACUUUUAAAUUCUUACGUGAUCUGAGUUCAGACCGG
Molecule: ribosomal RNA, 553 nt
Filed under: Musca domestica vicina
Lineage: Eukaryota; Metazoa; Arthropoda; Insecta; Diptera; Muscidae
Description: partial 16S ribosomal RNA
Rfam family: Bacterial large subunit ribosomal RNA
Source: RNAcentral